UUGAUAUAUUAACAACUUUUUGUUAACAUUUUGACAACGGCCAUGUGUUAGCAAUCUAUUGGCUCAUUUAAUUUAUUUUUAUUUUAAAUGUUGACGUGAAAAGGCAAAAGGCUUUUGAUUUUCGUUCUCUCUCUUCCAUUUUAAAUUUACGUUCUCUCUCUGUCUUCCAUUUUGAUUUUGUUUCUCUCUCUCUUCCAUUUUAAUUUUCCUUCUCUUCCUUCUCUCUCUGUUCUCUCUCAUCGGACCACCAUCUUCACCAACGACCCCUUUCCCUUUUGUUCCACCAUCACCAACUGAAGAUGUUGUCGUCCUUCAUUACGGUAGUGCUUUUUUCGAUUCAACGUUCACCACUUAGACAACUACCACCUUUUCCCUUUGUUGGGUUGUGGGUUGCGAAAUGGAUACCUCUGGUGACUUUGGUGAUGGGAGUAAGUUUUGUGAGCGACAUUCUUUCAAAACCAAUUUAGUUGGUGCUUUGAAUCGAAGAUUGACUCCGGAGUAGAGGACCUGCAUAGAAAAGACAUAAUUUGGUUAGUUUUUAGAGUUGUUUGACAAUGUUAAGAUUGGUAGGUGUGUCUUGAAUGAGUUAUGUGUUAGAUGGGUUAGCUCGAGGGGUGGGUUUUUUUGGAGAGAAAAGUGUAGAAUUUAAGGAAAUGUAUGUGUAAGAGCGCAUGAAGGAAGAUGACGCGUACGUUAAAAAAAUCGUGCGCUAAAAACUCUCUACGUUGGAUAUGGUCCCA
Molecule: small RNA, 740 nt
Filed under: Vigna angularis var. angularis
Lineage: Eukaryota; Viridiplantae; Streptophyta; Magnoliopsida; Fabales; Fabaceae
Description: Non-protein coding transcript
Source: RNAcentral